Molecule: ribosomal RNA, 1209 nt
Filed under: Nematoda environmental sample
Lineage: Eukaryota; Metazoa; Nematoda
Description: SSU rRNA
Rfam family: Eukaryotic small subunit ribosomal RNA
Source: RNAcentral
AAACCGCGAACGGCUCAUUAGAACAGCUAUAAUUUACUUGAUCUUGAACAGUUACUCGGAUAACUGUGGUAAUUCUAGAGCUAAUACGUGCACCAAAGCUGUUCCCCCUUGCGGGGAGCAGUGCAUUUAUUUGAGCAAAACCAAACGGCUUCGGCCGUCCCUGGUGAACCAGAAUAACUAAGCUGAUCGCAUGGGCUUGUCCCGGCGACGUGUCUUUCAAGUGUCUGCCUUAUCAACUUUCGAUGGUAGUGUAUAGGACUACCAUGGUGUUGACGGGUAACGGAGGAUAAGGGUUCGACUCCGGAGAAGGGGCCUGAGAAAUGGCCACUACGUCUAAGGAUGGCAGCAGGCGCGCAAAUUACCCACUCUCAGUUCGAGGAGGUAGUGACGAAAAAUAACAAGGCCGUUCUCUACGAGGCCGGCCAUUGGAAUGGGUACAACUUAAACCCUUUAACGAGUAUCAAUGAGAGGGCAAGUCUGGUGCCAGCAGCCGCGGUAAUUCCAGCUCUCAAAGUGCAUAGAACCAUUGCUGCGGUUAAAAAGCUCGUAGUUGGAUCUGUGCCUGUGACGUGGUCCACUCGCAAGAGUGGUACUGCGCUCACGGGCUUUGGACCGGUCUUCGCGGUCGGUAGUCUUCACUGGCUGCCGCCCGUGGCUGGUUGGUUUACUUUGAGCAAAUCAGAGUGCUCAGCACAGGCGUCUUGCCGGAAUGUUCGUGCAUGGAAUAAUAGAAAAGGAUUUCGGUCCUCUUUUGUUGGUUUUGUGGACUGAGAUAAUGGUUAACAGAGACGACCGGGGGCAUUCGUAUUGCUGCGUGAGAGGUGAAAUUCUUGGACCGCAGCAGGACGAACUACAGCGAAAGCAUUUGCCAAGUGCGUCUUCAUUAAUCAAGAACGAAAGUCAGAGGUUCGAAGGCGAUCAGAUACCGCCCUAGUUCUGACCGUAAACGAUGCCAACUAGCGAUCCGCCGGUGGCCUUAAGGCCUUGGUGGGGAGCUUCCCGGAAACGAAAGUCUUCCGGUUCCGGGGGAAGUAUGGUUGCAAAGCUGAAACUUAAAGGAAUUGACGGAAGGGCACCACCAGGAGUGGAGCCUGCGGCUUAAUUUGACUCAACACGGGGAAACUCACCCGGCCCGGACACCGUAAGGAUUGACAGAUUGAUAGCUCUUUCAUGAUUCGGUGGUUGGUGGUGCAUGGCCGUUCUUAGUUA